GCUGGGCUCAAUAACAUGGGCUUGUAACCCAAGUGGGGGCAUUAGUGUGGUGGAAUGUUGGGCUGGUCAUCCAAAUGGUUGGGCUUAUAUCUGGCCUGCCCUAUCGAAGUACAGAGUUGGGCCUUGUGGUCCAAUCGAAGGAGUGGGCUGCUAUUUCCUAAAGCGGAACGGACUGCGUGAGGUUGGUUUCACAGAGCAACGAAUAGUUCCUGCUCUAAGCGUUGGAAGGAUAGCACGUCGAUGCCUUCCGAGUCCCAGAAUCGUCAGAUGGGCUGCUCCACUU
This 283-nucleotide signal recognition particle RNA is filed under the name Solanum lycopersicum (tomato). RNAcentral's name for it is "Plant signal recognition particle RNA". It matches the Rfam family "Plant signal recognition particle RNA". Lineage: Eukaryota; Viridiplantae; Streptophyta; Magnoliopsida; Solanales; Solanaceae. The record is from Rfam by way of RNAcentral.